RNAcentral lists this ribosomal RNA (484 nucleotides) under uncultured bacterium. RNAcentral's name for it is "partial 16S ribosomal RNA". It matches the Rfam family "Bacterial small subunit ribosomal RNA", at positions 30 to 507 of the family's 1533-position model. The record is from RNAcentral.
AUUGAACGCUGGCGGCAGGCCUAACACAUGCAAGUCGAGCGGAUGAAGGGAGCUUGCUCCUGGAUUCAGCGGCGGACGGGUGAGUAAUGCCUAGGAAUCUGCCUUGUAGUGGGGGAUAACGUCCGUAAACGGGCGCUAAUACCGCAUACGUCCUGAGGGAGAAAGUGGGGGAUCUUCGGACCUCACGCUAUCAGAUGAGCCUAGGUCGGAUUAGCUAGUUGGUAGGGUAAAGGCCUACCAAGGCGACGAUCCGUAACUGGUCUGAGAGGAUGAUCAGUCACACUGGAACUGAGACACGGUCCAGACUCCUACGGGAGGCAGCAGUGGGGAAUAUUGGACAAUGGGCGAAAGCCUGAUCCAGCCAUGCCGCGUGUGUGAAGAAGGUCUUCGGAUUGUAAAGCACUUUAAGUUGGGAGGAAGAGAAGUAAGUUAAUACCUUGCUGUUUUGACGUUACCAACAGAAUAAGCACCGGCUAACUUCGUG